CCUACGGGCGGCAGCAGUGAGGAAUAUUGGUCAAUGGACGAGAGUCUGAACCAGCCAAGUAGCGUGAAGGAUGACUGCCCUAUGGGUUGUAAACUUCUUUUAUAAAGGAAUAAAACGAGGCACGUGUGCCUUUUUGCAUGUACUUUAUGAAUAAGGAUCGGCUAACUCCGUGCCAGCAGCCGCGGUAAUACGGAGGAUCCGAGCGUUAUCCGGAUUUAUUGGGUUUAAAGGGAGCGUAGAUGGGUUGUUAAGUCAGUGGUGAAAGUUUGCGGCUCAACCGUAAAAUUGCAAUUGAUACUGGAAGUCUUGAGUACAGUUGAGGUAGGCGGAAUUCGUGGUGUAGCGGUGAAAUGCAUAGAUAUCACGAAGAACCCCGAUUGCGAAGGCAGCUUACUAAGCUGUGACUGACAUUGAUGCACGAAAGUGUGGGUAUCAAACAGGAUUAGAUACCCCAGUAGUC
Molecule: ribosomal RNA, 460 nt
Filed under: uncultured bacterium
Lineage: Bacteria
Description: partial 16S ribosomal RNA
Rfam family: Bacterial small subunit ribosomal RNA
Source: RNAcentral